This 391-nucleotide ribosomal RNA is filed under the name uncultured bacterium. RNAcentral's name for it is "bacterial SSU rRNA". It matches the Rfam family "Bacterial small subunit ribosomal RNA", at positions 8 to 429 of the family's 1533-position model. The record is from RNAcentral.
AGAGUUUGAUCCUGGCUCAGAACGAACGCUGGCGGCACGCCUAACACAUGCAAGUCGAGCGCCCAGCAAUGGGAGCGGCGGACGGGUGAGUAACACGUGGGAACAUGCCUUUCGGUACGGAACAACUCAGGGAAACUUGAGCUAAUGCCGUAUACGCCCUUACGGGGAAAGAUUUAUCGCCGAAAGAUUGGCCCGCGUCUGAUUAGCUUGUUGGUGAGGUAACGGCUCACCAAGGCUUCGAUCAGUAGCUGGUUUGAGAGAACGACCAGCCACACUGGGACUGAGACACGGCCCAGACUCCUACGGGAGGCAGCAGUGGGGAAUCUUGGACAAUGGGGGAAACCCUGAUCCAGCGAUGCCGCGUGAGUGAUGAAGGCCUUCGGGUUGUAAA